GCUUUGGUUCAGUCGGUAGAGCGCUCGGCUUCGAUGCGCGAGGUCACUGGUUCGAUCCCGGCUUUAG
Molecule: transfer RNA, 67 nt
Filed under: Heterosigma akashiwo
Lineage: Eukaryota; Raphidophyceae; Chattonellales; Chattonellaceae
Source: RNAcentral